RNA transcript from Lolium perenne, 5162 nucleotides. RefSeq lists it as uncharacterized. The record is from RefSeq and is a predicted model, not a curated record. Lineage: Eukaryota; Viridiplantae; Streptophyta; Magnoliopsida; Poales; Poaceae.
GGGAAAAACGUCGGGCGACAGGGAACGAACUCGAAAAGGCCCUCGUCUCAAUCGCCGCUACAGGGUAGUAGUGCAGCUGGGUGUAGCAGGGCUAGGGCGAGAUACCACCGCGCCGCUGCACGCCUGCACCUCCCUGCGCCGCCUCCUCCCGGCGACUUGCCGUAGCGCCGUAGUUUCCUUAUCUCGUCGGAGGGAUUCGAUUGCCAUUCUCACCACUUGUGGUGGCCGCUGGGGUUUGCAGAUCUAGGCCGGCCGCGACAUUGCGGGUGGGGUUAGCCGAGAUGGAGUUUUCACCCCUCACCUGAACUCACCGCCUCCUUCUGCCCGUCCCGCGACAGCAAGCUCUAGCCAGUCGCCUCCCCUGGUGAACUCGACUCAUCACCGCGUGCGCUCCACCAGGGUCCCUCGAUAAAGUGGGGAAUUGACUUCAGUGCGAAGGUUUCUGGAAGUACUUGUUUAAAAUGGCUCAAAAAGAGGAUGGCAUCUAUGAUUUGCCAGCCGAGCCUCCUUUGAUGACUAUCAACUUGAAGCUGAGCCACGACAAUGACUUUGCAAAAUUACACCGCUCUUAUGCAAGCCAGGUGGAGCGCCUACGGAGAAGUCUCAAGAAGAAAUUUAAGACCCUCGUGAAGGGCAAGGGAAGUAAGCAGAAGGAGUUUCAUCUCACUCCAGAUGGGAUCUGUGUUUUCACGGUUGCAUUCACUGAUGGUAAGAGGACUGUCACCGCUAUCAUUGAAGGAAGACAUAUGUGGGUGAGAGGGUUCCAAACUACAGAUGGAACCAUUUAUGAGUUCCUUAAAAAUAAGGAGGAAGAGAGUGAUGAGAGCGAUAAGAAAAAGAAGAAGAAGCAGCAGGACGACGAGAGACAUGAACCAAGGAAGUAUAUCAAAGGGUCCAUCUUACUUUCCCAUGGGGGAGGAUACCCUAGACUACUUCCUGGAGGUCCUGAUGAACUAGAAAACUUUGAAGUGGGAUAUCCUGCCCUGAAAGAUAUGCUUAACGAGCUAUCCGAGUUCGAUCCAACAAGGUCUUCUGUCAAGUCUCUGCGUGCAAUGGCAGCACUGAUAAUACACACUGCCGAGAGCAUAAAGAAUAACUUCAUCCACUUGAUUGUUUUGAAAUCACUCGAUCCACUGCUGGGUGCGCGGAUGCAGCGUUUGGCAGAACUGGGGAAGGCCUACAUCAACAACUGGGGAAAGAUAUCAAGACUAAUCCUGAGAUAUCUUCAUAUUUCAACCAAAGUUUGGGAUGUAAAUGAGCAGAAAAAGGUGAAAAAUGAAGAGUUCUAUAAAGUCCCAUGUUGGACAAAAGAUCCAAAGGACGUGCUCAAUCAUAUCAUAUUCAUAAAAGGUGAUGAAUUCCCAGAUACGGUUCUGCACGUAGAAGAUGGCAAGACACGCAACCUGCCAGAUGUACUUCAAGCUUCUCUCGGUGUGGUUGUUGUGGGGGGAGUGAACCUCGCCCUAGAGUAUACAACAGAUAUUCCUUGUGUCGCUCAAGUGUUACUGCGAGCAACUUCAUUGUCGUCAAAUGUCCAGCUCGUUGAAGGAGAGUUUCCCAUCUACACAAGUGAUCACUUAAACUUGUGUACUCUGCAUCUGAAUUUGAGGAAAAAAGAAGGACAUCACAAGGAAGUGGUUAAGUUAACCCUAACAGUGAGUGCUUUGCUCGAGGCGACUGCACAUGUGAGCCAAGUUGAUGAAGCUAUCUACUGUCAAAGGACUGAAACAUGUCAAACGAACAGUGAGAUGAGCAGGAACCAACUGGAGAUAUAUUCAAGAAACAUAGAAUUAUUCGAGAAACUAGCAGAUAAAAGAGCUACACAAUCAGGAGAAGAGUACCCAAUGAUUGAUCCAAUGCUUUUGCUGUCUAAUAAGAAAGAGACACCACUAGUGUUAAAAGAGAUUGAUGUUGAACUGGUGUGCUGAUACUACCAUGAAAUGUACUAAGUUCCAGGCCAUCGGCAAAUGUAAGCUGGAAGAAUUAUGGAGUAUUCUUGAAAGAUGAAGAGUGCCGAAGUGGCCCACAUGAUUGAAAGAGACACUGGUCAAAUCCGCGCUUCAGGCUACACCUACCUCCCCCAUUAGUUGCUUCAAGUUUAAUAAAAGACAGUGCAAGAGAUUAAGCUCCAUUUCUUCCAACUUCUGGUGGAGUGCAGCAGACGGAUCUAGGAAGGUGCACUGAUCGCUUGGUACAAAAUGUGUUGCCCAAAAAGGGAAGGAGGGAUGGGAUUUCGGAACUUUGAGGUUUUCAAUCAAGCUCUUCUUGCCAAGCAGGCCUGGAGAAUUCUCACGGUUCCAGACUCUCUUUGUCGUCGAGUUCUUAAGGCAAGAUACUUCCCGAGCUUUAGCUUUCUUUCUGCCACAUGCCCUUCACGUGGUUGAUUCACAUGGAGAAGCAUACUGUAUGGUCGGGAUCUGCUUAACCGGGGUCUCAUUUGGAGGCUCGGCGAUGGUACACAAGUGGACAUAUGGGGAAGCAAUUGGAUUCCUCGAGCUGGUGCGCAACGACCACUGGGUCGGAAGUGCGAGACCGACAUCAUAAAGGUGGCUGAGCUUUUCAAUCAGCAGGGUACAGGAUGGAACGGAGAUAAACUACAGCAGCUGUUCCAUGAUUUUUAUGUCAAUGAUAUCAAGAAGAUCCCGAUCAGUGGAGUUGGAACACAGGAUUAUUAUGCUUGGAAUUUUACUAAAAAUGGAGUUUUCACGGUAAGAUCAGCUUAUCACCUCUGUAUGGAGUUAAUAAAGAUGGAUGGAGGUCUGUUGGAAACAUCGACAUCGAUGGAGGCUCACAAAGGAUGCUCUCUGGGGUGCUCUCCUGUUCCUAGUAAGGUGAAGAUUGAUGUGUGGCGGUUGCUGAAAAACGUCUUGCUGUGGGAGCUGAGCUUCAACAUAGGAAAAUAAAUCAUGGAGUCGUUUGCGUGUUGCGUGUGGACGGGAAGAAACUGCUAUUCACAGAUUUUGGCUUUGCCCGCACCCUCGGCACAUUUGGGAGGUAAUUCGUAGUCUUGGCACUGGCCUGACUAUAGAGCGCCCUGCGAAGAUUCGUUCCCCUCGGGAGUUGCUUCAAUGGAUGCUGGAAUGGCUUGGAAGGGUGCACGACUCGGAGCUAGACACCACGAUGAUGGCUCUGUACCAUAUGUGGUUAUCCAGGAAUGAAGCCAGGGACAAGCAGAUAGAAAACCCAGAUGCGCUGGCUAAGCGUAUUGUUCACCUCACAGAAGAAUGGAGAAUUAUUCGGGCCCCAAAACCACCCAAGGCUGCUUUAAGUAGAGAGCACUGCCUCCUUCCAAGGGUGGGAUGGAUGAAAGUCAAUGCUGAUGGUGCGGUAGCGAAAUCUUCGGAGAAAGGAGGAGGAGGUAUGGUCGUGCGUGACCACCAUGGAAGCUUCCUUGUGGCGGCUUGCCACUUUUUCUCUCCACUUUUGGAUCCGGAGGAUGCAGAACUCCAUGCAUGCCAUGCUGCUCUAGGCCUGGUGAAAAGCUGAGAUUGCCGAGAGUGAUUCUGGAGAUGGAUAGUUUGGGUGUUGUGUGAAAGCUGUUGUUAGCACCUUGGCACUGAAGCACUCGAUUCAGUCAUCAAUCCGGCUACAGCCAUGGAUUUAGAGGUGAGAGGAAGGAAUCAGAGGAACAGGAGAAGAAAGACGAAGCCAAGUCUAGUUCAGGCCGAAGCCAUCCGUUCUGUAGUGGCGGCUCAGUUUCCAGCCCAAGCUGAGAGUAGAAGGGUCUCUUACAGGAAGUGUCGCUGACAGUUCAGGAUGCAGGUGGACGCAGGCUUCCACAGGCCCACUUAGCCGCGCCGUGAAAAAAAUCGAUUGGUGGCGUCGUGGACUACCUGCUGCGGGCCUUGUAGACAAUUUCCACGCAGCCUUCUUGGCCCGCUGGCCUGCACCGCUAUCUCUCUACGAAACACAUUCGUCUUCGCUGGUCUAUCCCCACGCGUUCAUCCCCACCUGCGCUGCCGCUCGUCGUCUCCGCGUUCCCUCCGUGGACUGCACCUCCCCAUCGUCAGAAAACGGCGGGGAUGGAGGAGGAGAAUAUGUCGAACAGAGGGGGAAAAGAAUCCGGCCGGCUCUCAGGUCUCCUCUUUCUUGCUGUUCUCGAUUUGGCUGAGACUUUGCUUGGUUACCUGCUUGUAACAGCAGAAGUGGUGAAUUUUACUCUUAUUCGGGAUAAUGACAGGCUUAUGGAUAAGAUACUCCAUAGCAGGAGUAGAAGAAUUUUGAAACAGGACAGGGUGUGGCUAUCUACUUUGUCAUCAUGAUGAUCUCUCUCAGCGAACCAAGAGCUGACUGACAAGAUGGUUGACAUUCAGCAAGAACUGGCCGAGACGGAGGCCUGGGCGGAGGAAAAGAGUGGGAGCUCACCACAGAAGAGCUUCGGAGCUCCGGCGUUGACGUCGAUGAGGAAGAGGCCGCCAAGGGCCGGUGCUAGCCUCCAUCGCCUUGCUUGAGACCUCCUUCGGCGUCAGCGCGCAGGAGCUUCGGCAGGAGGCCGGCGGCGAGAGGCGCGAGAGAUUGUCCAACGGCUAGAGGCGUGGGAGGGAAGCACGAGGCCGGCGACGCAAUGCUUGAGACCUCCCUCGCCCUGAACAGGGUGAGCUCGCCUAGCGGAGGAGCUCACCGAACAGGAUCUUCCGCGGGAUGCCAGAGGCACGGGCGAGCGAGCGCACGAGUAAGUUCGACGUCCGGACGGAGGGAGUAGUAUGAAUGGAAACCAUGGAAGGAGCCAAAACCCAGACUCUGGGCUCAGUUUCUGCUCCGUAACGUUGCAAACAACUAGAAAAUCAAUCGCGUGGACGCAGGAAUCUGCUAUUCCUGCUUAGCCUGCAUCACACCGGACGCAGGAACCUGCUAAUCCUGCUUAGCACGCAUGCGGAUGAUGCAGGCAUGAGCGGACACGCUGUGGGACUUGUCCACUUGCAUCCGGACUGACAGCUGUCUCAGAUGGACAAGGAUAGAUCGAUUGCUGAAUUGACUAUGAGGUAACGCUAAAAAAAAAGGACUAGAGGUUUGAUGGGCGAGAUGUUCGGCUAAAGGGGUCGCUCAUGUUUUAGCGAAAGGAAGGCUCUGAAUUAAAUAAGACUUGGUUUAUUGUACCACCUAGUUGUAUUAUGAAUCUUUUGGCUUCGGAUAUGUCCGGGCAAGUAAUAAAGUGCACAGCU